Molecule: long non-coding RNA, 765 nt
Organism: Entelurus aequoreus (snake pipefish)
Lineage: Eukaryota; Metazoa; Chordata; Actinopteri; Syngnathiformes; Syngnathidae
Exons: 4
Source: RefSeq, a predicted model, not a curated record
GAAGGCACAUCCACGUCACUUCCUGUCUAAGUUCCACUCCGGACGGCUGGAUGGGGUCCAAGAUGGCGUCUCAGUAGUUGUAGAGGCGCUGGCUGGGCUGCUUGUAGCGUCUCUCCGACGGCGAGCAGCGCGUCUUGAGCAGGUUCUGCCUGGCGAGGACGCCGCGGCUCAGCUUCUUGCGCUCGGCCCGCUGGAGGCGGAGCAAUUGCAGGUUGGCGGGCAGCGGGACGCCCCACGCCGCCAGGCGCCAGGAGAUGUGCCUCCUCACUUCCACGGGCCUGCGGGGGUUUGUUAUGGCCGCGUGUCGACACUGGAACAGACCACUUCCUGUGGGAAAGAGCGUGACGUCACCUCGGAGAGUUCUCCUCAUCUUCGUCCGAGCCGUCCUCCUCUUCCUCGGCGCCACUCAUCCUGCGUCUCAUCUGGUAGACGGACAUGCUGGGGUGCUCGAUCAGCAGGUCCUCCAGGGGGUCCGCGGCAGGCGCCGACGUCAGGGGCCCGUUAUCUGUCACAGGAACAUCUUGAGUGAAAACUACAAAAAUGGUCGCCACAUCCUUUGACCUGUCAGCCCGUGGCCCUCAGAACUCCAGCAGAUCCCCAAGAACGUCAUCGCUCGCCUCGUAGUCGCCGCCGCCGCCGCCGAGCAGGUGGGAGAGGAUCUUGCCAAUCAUCGUCACGGCAACCUAUGAGACAGAUGUGUUAAAAUGUCUGUUUGUCGUGCUUUUACAAUAAAAUAUAUUCCAAGAAUAUGAAGCUUUAUUUGUG